Long non-coding RNA from Sapajus apella (tufted capuchin), 4377 nucleotides. RefSeq lists it as uncharacterized. NCBI's taxonomy places the organism in Eukaryota, Metazoa, Chordata, Mammalia, Primates, Cebidae. The record is from RefSeq and is a predicted model, not a curated record. The transcript has 2 exons.
GUUAGAGAAUUUAGUUUCUUCUGAACAAGAGAGUAAAUGAAAUGAGAGGCUUUCGACUAUUGAUACAUGAUUUGCUGUUAAUGUAGUAAAAUUGAGGCAUCAGUGCUGAAUGUUUGAAUGUACAGAUAAAAAUUUGGCAACCAUGACUGAAAUCUAAUAGAACAUUUAUUUCGGCCGGGUGCGGUGGCUCACGCCUGUAAUUCCAGCACUUUGAGAGGCCGAGGUGGGUGGAUCACCUGAGGUUAGGAGUUUGAGACCAGCCUGACCAACAUGGAGAAAACCCCAUCUUUAUUAAAAUUAAAAAAAAAAUUAAAAUUUUAAAUUUCAUAGCAUUUGAGUGUUCUUUUCCAAUUAUUUUAUUGUGGUUAAAAUACAUAUAUAAAAUCUAUCAUCUUGAUCAUUUUGAGGUAUACAGUUGAGUGGUAUUAAAUACAUUGGUAUUGUUGUUGUGCAACCAUCACUGCCAUCCAUCUCCAGAACUCUUUUCAUCUGAAACUCUUUACCUAUUAAACAAUAGCUUUCCUUUCCUCCCCUCCCCUUAGCCCUGGCAGCCACCAUUCUACUUCCACUGUCUAUGAUUUUAACUAUUCCAUGUACCUCAUAUCAUUGGAAUCAUACAGUCUAUGCCUUCUUGUGACUGGCUUAUUUCACAAAACGUAUUGUCAUCAAGGUUCUUCCAUGCUGUCGUUGAUGUCAGAAUUUCCUUUCUUUUUAAGUCUAAAUAAUACAGUAGUAUAAAUUUUUAAAGAAAAAUAGUAAUCUUUUGCUCACUUCACUACCCACCCCUCAAUGUCACCGUCAAGAAGCAACAACCUUAAUUAUUUUAGCUGUUUCUUCUGAUUUUACUUCCAUAUUUAUGUGGUAUAGCAUACUAUAUUUUGCUUAUCCAUUGAUGGACACUUAGGUUGCUUCCACGUUUUAGCUAUUGUGAAUAAUGCUGCUGUGGUCACGAGUAUACAGGUAUCUCUUUGAGACCCCGCUUUUCAAUUCUUCUGGCUGUGUACUCACAAAUGAAAUUGCUGGAUCACAUAGUCAUUCUAUUUUUAAUAUUUUGAGGCUUCACUGUACUGUUUUCCACGGCAGCUCCGCCAUUUUACAUUCCCAUUAACAGUGCACAAGGGUUCCAAUUUCUCCACAUCCUUAUCAACACUUUUAUUUUCCUUUUUUUUUUUUUUCCCUAAUAGUGGCCAUUCUAAUAGGUGUCAGGUGGUAUCUUAUUGUAGCUUUGAUUUUCAUUUCUGUAGUGAUGGUGAUGUUGUACAUUUUCAUAUGCUUUUUGGCCAUUUGUGUAUCUUUCAAGACAUAUAUAGCCAAGUCUCUUGCCCACUUUUGAAUAGGCUUGUUUUAUUGUUGUUGAGUUUUAGUUCUCUGUAUAUUUUGGAUAUAAUCCCUUAUUAGAUACAUGAUUUUGCAAAGAUUUUCUCCCAUUCUGUGGAUUGGCCUUUUUACUCUUGAUUGUGUCUUUUGAUGUACGUACAACUUAAACAUUUUUCAUGAAAGUCCAAUUUGUCUAUUUUUUUGUUAUUGUUGCCUAUGCCUUUGGUGUCAUGUCCAAGAAGUCAUUGCUAAACUUCAUGCUGUGAAGGGUUUGCCCUUUGUUUUCUUUGAAGAGUUUAUAGUUUUAGGUCUUACAUUUAAGCCUGAUCAAUUUUGAGUUAAUUUUUUUAUAUGGUAUUAGGUGAGUGUCCAACUUUGUUUUGUUUGUGGAUAUCCGUUUUUUCCCCACCAUUUGUUGAAGACUGUCAUUUCACUCAUUGAAGGAUCUUAGCACCCUUGUCAAAAAUCAUUUGACCAUGUAUGUGAGGUUUUAUUUUCAGGUUCUCUGUUCCAACCAUGGACUGGCACCUGUCCACAGCCUGUUAGAAACCGGGCUACACAGCAGGAGGUGAGCAGCUGGCGAGCAAGCAUUACAGCCGGAGCUCCACCUUCUCUCAGAUCAGCAGUAGCAUUAGAUUCUUAUAGAAGCAGGAACCCUGUUGUGAACUGUGCAUGUAAGGGAUCUAGGUUGCAUGAUCUUUAUGAGAAUCUAAUGGCUGAUCUGAGGUGGAGCAGUUUCAUCUGUAAACCAUUCCCCUGGACUAUGGAGAAAUUGUCUUCCAUGAAACUGGUCCUGGUGCCAAAAAGGUGGUGGACCAUUGAUUUAUUCCAUUGGUCUGGAUGUCUGUCUCUAUGCCAGUACCACAGUUUUGAUUACUGUAGCUAUGUAAUAUGUCUUGUAAUCAGAAACAGUGAAUUCUCUAGCUCUUAACUAUUUUGCAGGAUUAUUUUGGCUCUUCAAUCUUGAGAUUCCAUGUGAAUUUUAGAAUGAAUUUUUCUAUUUCUGGAAAACAAAUAGGGAUUUUGAGAGGAAUUGCAGUGAAUCUGUAAAUUGCUUUGGGUGGUAUUGAUAUCUUAGUAAUAUUAAGUCUUCCUUUUCCCACAUAGGCUCAUGGAGAAAAAAAUUUAAGUCUUCCAGUGCAUGAAUGUGAGCUGUGUUUCUAUUUAUUUAUGCGUUCUUUAAUAUCUUGAGUAAGAUUUUAUGUGUUCUUUAUGUCUUUCAGCAAUGUUUUGUAGUUUUUAUUGUACAGGUCUUUCACUUGAUUAAUUUGGGAAUAUUUUUUCUUUUUGAUGCUAUUAUAGAUGGAACUGUUGGCAUAAUUUCCUUUUCAUCUUCUUAUUAGUUUAUAAAAAUGCAAUUGAUUUUUAUAUGUUGACUUUGUAUUCUGCUAUUUUACUGAAUUCAAUUAUUCUAACAGUUUUUUGUGUGUGGAAUCUUUAAGGUCUACUGUAUACAAGAGCCUUCCAUCUGUGAGCAGAGAUCAUUUUAUUUGUUUCUUUUCUAUUUGUAUGCCUUUUAUUUCUUUUUUUGUACUUACUUGCUCUGGCUGGAACUUAAGCAUUCUUAUGAUGUAAAAACUCAGAUUGCUUCUGUGUGAAUGGGAACAGACACAAAUCUUAAUUAUUGAUCCUGAUUUUGUGUUUUGAUACUUUCCAUACUUUCAUAAAGGGACUUAUUUUCUAUUUAAUGUAACUUUUAAACUGCUUUUCUAAGAAAUAAACCUUUUAUGUUUAUUUUAUUUCUAAAGUGGCACAGGGAGUUUGAUACAUAUUUUUUAAGCUUUUUAUUUAAUGCCCAUCAAUUGCUUACAAAAUUUGAGAAAUUUUAUGGUAUUAAAAAUUGAUACAUGUGACUAACAAAUUUUUGCUAACUUUGCUGUGUUAUUAUAAUUCUUACUGCCUAAUGAAGUUAUUUACUGAGAUAUUUGAAUUUCUUUAUAAAAUAAAUUGGGAGAUAGCAUUUCAUAGUUAAUCUGUAAGAUUGCUUUUCUUUCUGUCUUGGGAAACUCCUCUUUAUUUUCAGUCAUGUGAAAACUUACACAUAUCCAUGCUUUUUUUCUGUCUUGAAGAAUUGUACUGCAGUCUGUCUUGGUUAAGUCAGAAGGUUGUGAGGGGUAGAGCUAGUUAGUGGGGCUUUAGUAUGGCCUGACUAGUGGCUGGCAAGGUGGCUAUUUUUUUUUUCUUCAAUUUUUUGCUUUAUUUAUGUUCUAGCAAAACCGGUGAACCAAGCAAGUGGAGUAUUGCAUUUUAUCUCUUUAUAAUAUUCACUUUGAAAUAAGGAUUGAGUUUUUGUUCAUGUUUUAUUUUAUUUUUUACAAAGUCAUAUGAGUAGAAUUAUUGGAUCAAGUAGUAAGAACGUUUCAGACUCUUGAUAAUAUAUUGCCCAAUUAUUUUAGUGCCAGUUUAAAUUUCACAAGCAAAAUGAGAGAAUGCCUGUUGUAUCUCGUUACUUUUUGCCUUUAUUCGGUGCUAUUAAAAACAAACCUUGGGGAUUUUUAGAAGAAAACUUGUAUCUUGCUUAAAUUUUUAUUUUUAAAAUUAGUAACAGGACCAAGUAUUUUAAAUGCUUAUUAUGCAGUCGUCUUUUAUGGUUUUACUUUGAUCUUUAGCCUUUCUUUUAAACAGUUGAUUUAUCUAGUUAAAAUAUUUCCCUAAUUUGUUUCCUAACUUCGCCUUUGUCACAGCAUUUGGACAGUAUCACGCACAGUGUCAUGGCUCAUUUAUAUGUUUCUGUCUCAGCAUGUUUUUUUCCUUAUUUAUGUUGAAAGGCUAGCAAACUUAUUACUUUCUAUAUCUUCUGGGAAAGAUUCAGACUAGCGAUAUGCUUAGGUAGCCCUGCUUCAUGAGACCCCUCUGGAAUAUGGCUAAGUACAGGAGAGAGAGGAUAAGAAGGUCUGUAGGGUAGUGGUUAUAGCGGAAUGUGUUUUAGAGACAUGGACGGAAGACUGGGGACUAACUGAAGAUGUUGCGGUAGGCCUUUGCUCAGUGGCACUCCAAGAAGGAGACAUGGGAGAGGCCUUGUCCUUUUCACUUUCCUUACUUUCCUUCUUUGUUCACAAA